GAUGAACGCUGACAGAAUGCUUAACACAUGCAAGUCGAUGGGGAAGUGGUGCUUGCACCAUGGUAACCAUGGCGGACGGGUGAGUAACGCGUAAGGAACUUGCCUGCGGGACUGGGAUAACAGCAGGAAACUGCUGAUAAUACCGGAUAAGGUCAUUAAGCUGCAUAGCUUAGUGAUGAAAGGAGACGCCUGCGGAGAGCCUUGCGUCCUAUUAGCUAGUUGGAGGGGUAACGGCCCACCAAGGCGAAGAUAGGUAGCCGGCCUGAGAGGGUGGACGGCCACAAGGGGACUGAGAUACGGCCCUUACUCCUACGGGAGGCAGCAGUGGGGAAUAUUGGACAAUGGGGGCAACCCUGAUCCAGCAAUUCUGUGUGCACGAAGACGGUUUUCGGAUUGUAAAGUGCUUUCAGCAGGGAAGAAGGAAGUGACGGUACCUGCAGAAGAGGCGACGGCUAAAUACGUG
This 463-nucleotide ribosomal RNA is filed under the name uncultured bacterium. RNAcentral describes it as "partial 16S ribosomal RNA". It matches the Rfam family "Bacterial small subunit ribosomal RNA", at positions 28 to 507 of the family's 1533-position model. The record is from RNAcentral.